This 494-nucleotide ribosomal RNA is filed under the name uncultured bacterium. RNAcentral's name for it is "partial 16S ribosomal RNA". It matches the Rfam family "Bacterial small subunit ribosomal RNA", at positions 28 to 523 of the family's 1533-position model. The record is from RNAcentral.
GAUGAACGCUGGCGGCAUGCCUAACACAUGCAAGUCGAACGCGAGUAGGGGCAACCUUACUUGAGUGGCGGACGGGUGCGUAAUACGUAGGAAUCUUCCCUAGAGCGGGGGAUAACCCGGGGAAACUCGGGCUAAUACCGCAUAAUCUCUACGGAGCAAAGGGGGGUCGCAAGACCUUUCACUUUAGGAUGAGCCUACGUCGGAUUAGCUUGUUGGUGAGGUAAAGGCUUACCAAGGCGACGAUCCGUAGCUGGUCUGAGAGGACGACCAGCCACACUGGGACUGAGACACGGCCCAGACUCCUACGGGAGGCAGCAGUGGGGAAUAUUGGACAAUGGGGGCAACCCUGAUCCAGCAAUGCCGCGUGUGUGAAGAAGGCCUUCGGGUUGUAAAGCACUUUCAGUGGGGAAGAAAUGCUAACGGUUAAUACCCGUUAGCUAUGACGUUACCCAAAGAAGAAGCACCGGCUAACUCUGUGCCAGCCGCCGCCGUAA